Molecule: ribosomal RNA, 696 nt
Filed under: Pseudomonadota bacterium
Lineage: Bacteria; Pseudomonadati; Pseudomonadota
Description: bacterial SSU rRNA
Rfam family: Bacterial small subunit ribosomal RNA
Source: RNAcentral
AUUGAACGCUGGCGGAAUGCUUUACACAUGCAAGUCGAACGGUAGAGGGGGCAACCCCUUGAGAGUGGCGAACGGGUGAGUAAUGUAUCGGAACGUGCCCAGUCGUGGGGGAUAACGUAGUGAAAAUACGCCUAAUACCGCAUACGAUCUAUGGAUGAAAGCGGGGGAUCGCAAGACCUCGCGCGAUUGGAGCGGCCGAUAUCAGAUUAGGUAGUUGGUGGGGUAAAGGCUCACCAAGCCAACGAUCUGUAGCUGGUCUGAGAGGACGACCAGCCACACUGGAACUGAGACACGGUCCAGACUCCUACGGGAGGCAGCAGUGGGGAAUUUUGGACAAUGGACGCAAGUCUGAUCCAGCCAUUCCGCGUGCAGGACGAAGGCCUUCGGGUUGUAAACUGCUUUUGUACGGAACGAAAAAGCUCUUAUUAAUACUAGGAGUCCAUGACGGUACCGUAAGAAUAAGCACCGGCUAACUACGUGCCAGCAGCCGCGGUAAUACGUAGGGUGCAAGCGUUAAUCGGAAUUACUGGGCGUAAAGCGUGCGCAGGCGGUUAUAUAAGACAGAUGUGAAAUCCCCGAGCUUAACUUGGGAACUGCAUUUGUGACUGUAUAGCUAGAGUACGGCAGAGGGGGAUGGAAUUCCGCGUGUAGCAGUGAAAUGCGUAGAUAUGCGGAGGAACACCGAUGGCGAAGGCA